UUUUUUUUUAUUUUUAAUUUUUUUGUCUUUUUCUAGAGAACAGUUUAUUUUUUUAAUUUUUAUUUUAUUUUUGUGUUUUUCUAGGUAAGUGGAUUUAGUGAUUACCCAGGGUUUCAAUACCAGUGAUGUAACGUUACUGUAAGGCAGAACAUUAUUGUGAAAACUUUCUGUUGAGAGAUGCCUGGAGGAUGCCUCUGUUGAGGAGGUAAACUCAAACCCUAGCUUCCCAACCCCAUGGUCCUCUUCCUCAGGUCUUGCACUAGACCAGGUGGUGGUGGGCAUGCAAAUCCCUUUUGGGAAAGACCAGAAGAAGAGGGUCAUGGGGUUUGGGAAGUGGUGCCUCUUCCCUUCCUAGGGUUUGAGUUUGCCUCUGGGCUUGGGGAGAAAGCCCUGCAGUACCUGAGCCGUGUCAACCUGGAACGGGGGAGAAGGCAGCGUAGACUUGCUCUUGUUGGGCAAAGACAUAAAUGAUGGCGUCCGAGCGACAUCACUAGAAAGGAAAUGCUUACAGCGUGUCAGGUACUAUUUGAAUCAUUUUAUGUUUAAGUCUUUCUCACAGCCUAUGACGCUGUCAUUUCUGUAGGUCAGAGCUGGUAAAAUAUUGUCACUUCGACAUAGUUUACAGAUUUUCCACCUUAAGAUGUGAACAAAAGAUUUUUUAAUAAUGACCCAACGUCCCAAAGCUAAUGGGUGGCUGUACAGAUCAAGUGUUCUUGCAGGAACAAAAGGCACCUUCAGAAGGGGAUGACUGAGACAUUAAUGAAAGACUGCUUACAGAUGGGGUUAAAUGAAAUCAACAAGGAUAGAGGAAGUUUCUGGAAAAGCCAUCUUAAAGCAGUCCAGUGGGCACUGGGAGGUGGCUGGAGCUGGAAGCAGGGGGGUGAAGUGUGUGUGUGUGUCUGUGUUUAGGACGGGUGACUUAGAAGUCACCUCUCAGUGUGCUGGUCUUAUAGAUGGUGCCAGUACAAAAGGACUGAGGUCAGGUGUUUAUUCUUUAUAAUAUACAAUGCCUGUCAAAAAUUUUUGCAGGAGCCAUUCCGAGCACAGCAUGGACCACUGCAAGGGAUUGACAGCUAGAUAUUAGUCACGAGUUCUUAAAUACCAUCCAUUUAUCAUCAGCCCUUAAUUAAUGGGGAUCCUUCUGCCCAGAACACGCAGUGAGACUUCUGCCUCCUCUUUAUCCCCUGCCCCCUGCCGGGUCACACUGAGGAGGAAGGAGAAUGACAUGCAAACAUGAUGUCCAAGUUUGAAGAAGCCACCUGUAGCCAGAGCAGCCAGUUCUUGGUAAGUGUCCGGAUACUGUCAGUCAAGCCCGACUUCCCUCUCAACUUUUCAUCUUUACACUGUCUCUUGCCAACCUCUGUUCCCUCUGUUCCAGCUGCCCCCUUCCUCCACUGGCUCCCAUCCGCUAACCCUGAUGGAUGGAAAAUACUUUCUCAGAAGUGACUAGAAGAAACCUGAGAAAUGACUCUUGCACAAGGAAGCCAGGCUGCCCACCCCAUUUGAGGAUGUGUUCAAUCCUAAGGAUAACUCACCUAUUUUAUUGUAUUUUAUUUUUUGGCUGUACCGAUGGCCUGUGGAAGUUCCUAGGUCAGGGUUGAAACUGCACCACAGCAGUGCCAAUGCCAGAUCUUUAGCCCACUGUAUCACCACGGAACUCUGCACCCAUUUUAAAAUCUAAGAACAUCCCAACCAAUGCCCAUGGCGCCCACAGCUGGCUUGACUUCCCCAGAUGCUCCUGAUAAUCUAAUUCUCUCCUAACAUAAGAGGUAAUGUCAUGCUUCAUGCUUCAAAUGGACCAUCCCUGUAUCUUUUUUUCAGGAAACACUCCUUCACCUUAAAUUCAAGUGUUUAAAAGUUCAAAGCACUUAAUGUUUGCACAUAAAGUGAAUUUUAGAUUACAUUCUUUUUUGGAGAGAGUCACAUAACGGGCUGUUACAAAUUCAUUCCAAAAAGCAACUUUCAGAUUCUGUCCUGAGGUCAGUAACAUACAUUCCCUUUGCCUCCUGUACUUACAACUCUGUAAUUACAACUCAAGAAAUAAUAUAUGAGGAUUCUGAUACAUGGAAAGAUCCUGAAAAAGUGUUUUGAAUUAUUAAAGAAGAAAUCAUUCAUAGUAUUGGCAUGAAGUAUAUUACACAGUACUGUCAGCCUUUGAACAUUGCUAAGUCAUGUGUGACAUAUACGGUAUAAAGAAAUCAGACUACUCUGUUCUACCUAUUUCUGCUAGUUGAGAAGUUUUAUACAAAAAAUUCAUUUAAUAAUUCUGACACCUGUGGUCAAUUAAUCUUUGACAAAGGAGGCAAAGAAUAUAAAAUGAGAAAAAGACAGUCUUUUCAGCAAGUGGUGCUGGGAAAACUGGACAGCAACAUGUAAAUCAGUGAAACUAGAACACACCCUCACACCAUGCACAAAAAUAAAUAACACUGUAAAUCAGCUAUAAUAGAAAAGAUAAAAAUCAUUAUAAAAAUGGCCUAAAGACUUAAACAUAAGACAUCAUAAAACUAGAAGAGAACAUAGGCAAAAUAUUCUCUGACAUCAACUGUGUAAAUGUUUCCUUAGGUCAGUCUCCCAAGGCAAGAGAAGUAAAAGCAAAAAUAAUGGGACCUAAUCAAACGUAAAAGCUUUUGCACAGCAAAGGAAAUAAAACCCCAAAAAGACACCCUAUGGAAUGGGAGAACAUAGUUGCAAAUGAUACAACGAACAAGGGCUUAAUCCCCAAAAUAUACAAACAACUCAUACAACUCAACAGCAAAAACAAAAACAAAAAGCAAAAAAACCUGAACAACAACAACAAAAACAACCCAAAUGAAAAAUGGGCAGAAAACCUAGAUAUUUCUCCAAAGAAGAUAUACAGAUAGCCAACAAACACAUGAAAAAAAUGCUCAACAUCACUAAUUAUUAGAGAAAUGUAGAUCAAAACUACAAUGAGGUACCAUCUCACACUGGUCAGAACAGCUAUCAUUAAUAAGUCUACAAAUAACAAGUGCUAGAGAGGGUGUGGAGAAAAGGGAACCCUACUUCUCUGUUGGUGGGAAUGUAGACUGGUACAACCAUUAUGGAAAACAGUAUGGAGGUUCCUCAGAGAACUAAAUAUAGAACUACCAGAAGUUUCAGUAAUCCCACUCCUGGGCAUAUAUCUGGAUAAAAAAACUUUCAUUCUAAAAGAUACAUGCACCACUAUAUUCAUUCCAGCACUAUUCACAAUAGCCAAGACAUGGAAACAGCCUAAAUGUCCAUUGACAGAUGAAUGGAUUAAGAAGAUGUGGUAUAUAUACACAAAGGAAUACUACUCAGCCAUAAAAAAGAAAAUACCAUUUGCAGCAACAUGGAUAGAACUAGAGAUUCUCAUACUAAGUGAAGUAAGUCAGAAAGAGAAAGACAAAUACCAUAUGAUAUCACUUAUAUGUGGAAUCUAAAAUGUGGCACAAAUGAACCUAUCUACAAAACAGAAACAAACUCAUGGGCAGAGAACAGACUUGUGGUUGCCAAGCAGGAGGGGGAGGGAGUGGGAUGGACUGGGAGUUUGGGGUUAGUAGAUGCAAACUGUUGCAUUUGGAGUGAAUAAGCAAUGAGAUCCUGCUGUAUAGCUUAGAGAACUACAUCCAAUCCCUUGUGAUGGAAAAUAAUGGAAGAUAUGAGAAAAAGAAUGUAUACACAUACACACACACACACAUACAUAUAUAUAACUUGGGUGUCACUUUGCUGUACAGCAGAAAUUGACAGGACACUGUCAAUCAACUAUAAUAAACAUUUUUUUUAAUUUAAAAAAGAUUUUUAAAAAGUCAAAAAAAAAUUGGAAGAACUACUGGAUAAGAAACUCAAUCCAGGAGUUCCUGUUGUGGCUCAGUGGGUUGAGGACCUAAUGUGGUCUCUGUGAGGAUGCAGGUUUGAUCCCUGGUCUCACUCAGUGGAUGAAGGACCCGGCAUUGCCACAAGCUGUGGCAUAGUCCACAGAUGUGGACUGGAUCUGGGGUUGCUGUGGCACCUGCAGCUCCAAUUUGACCCCUAGCCCGGGAACGUCCAUAUGCCGGGGUGUGGCCAGUCGUUGCACCUCUGGGUUUUUCUGUUACCACCUCUAGAGAGGAGAUGCGCUACGACCUCCAAGUUAUAAAAAUCCUCCUGUCAUCCCCACCCUUCUCUUUAGAGCCCAAACUUUGGACUUCAGCUGCAGCUCCUUCUGGGGGUGGGUGUUGCCAUCAGAAGCCCUUUGGUGACCCUCGGUCACUUGUACUGGCAUUGUCACUCUUGGGACAUUUCCCUUAGACUUCUGCUGGUCUCUGUUAAACCAUCAUUUAGUUAACACUCCCGCAGUUACAGAGCAGAGGACAGAACCGGCAGCAGAUGGUAUCUGGAAGCAUAAAGUGACAGACCUGGGAACAUUCCUGGGUGAGAAGCUUCUAUUUCCAGAGUCCUGCUCCUCACCCGGUUCCAGCUCCUUUAUCUGGUGAAGUUCCACAUCCUUUAAGGAUCAAGUCCAAUGUCACUUCUACCUCACUUGGGAGAGGUUCUUUCUCCUCUGGGCUCCUAAUUUUUACCCACCACUGUCACAUCUGUCAUCACCUCCUAUUGCAUAUUGAUUUUUUGCCUGCUUGCUCACCUCUUUAGGAAUAUCCUUACAAGUGGCCACGAUUGGUUCUUCUCUAGGGUAGCUUAUUUCCAGGCUCUGUGAGCCUGUGUGUAAGGCCUGCCUUGGGUGAUUAUAACAAACAAAUGCUGAAGCCCUUUUGGGUGCAUCAUUUCAAUCUUUUAAAGAUGAUUUCUGGUGCUUCCCUCCUUGGGAACUUUCUACUUUCCUGUCACUUUGGUGAUUCUUAUCAGUGUUCCCUGGUAGACAAUUAAUGGUAUGAUUUUUUUGACCAAUUAGCUCAGGAAGCUCAGACUUCAGCAUCUUAAAAAAAAAAAAAAAAUCCCCAAGUGGAGUUCCCGUCGAGGCUCAGUGGUUAACGAAUUUGACUAGGAACCAUGAGGUUGUGGGUUCGAUCCCUGGCCUCGCUCAGUGGGUUAAGGAUCCGGCGUUACUGUGAGCUGUGGUGUAGGUCGCAGAUGUGGCUUGGAUCCCACUUUGCUGUGGCUGUGGCGUAGGCUGGUGGCUACAACUCCGAUUAGACCCUUAGCCUGGGAACCUCCAUAUGCCAUGGGCGUGGCCCUAGAAAAGCCAAAAAAAAGAAAAAAAAAAAGAAAAAGAAAAAAGGAAAAAAAAAAUCCCCAAAUAAUAACCAGCUCAAGAAUACAAAUGUUCUAUGCAGUUCUGGAAUGCUAUCACUUAUUGACUCUAUUCAUUAAAAAAAAAAGGUGCAUGCAAAUCUAAAAUCCCCACACAGAAAAUGGAACUAAUCCACAAAUAAGUGCGUGCCUCAUACACACCUACAUACCAACAAGUAACACGAGAAUCAUAGGAACCUGCAUGUGUAGGUUCUGGAUUCAUCUGGAUUCAUGCUGAACAUUGCUAAGCAUUGUGCCAGCUGCUUCACAGGCCCAGUAUCUUUGACACUAUCCUUGAAAUUCAUGAUGGCAUGAGGGUCAUCACACAUAAGCAUUUUCUUUUUGUCCCUCUGAACAAAGUGAACAUUGACCCGGAUACAGGGAAGGAUCCUAGCUGGGGUCACUCACAUCGCUUGAAUCAUAACAAGAGAAAGACUUUUGCAGUCUCCGAACUUUUUUCAAGCAGAAGCAAGCAGCUGUUCCUGAGAUAAAGCAGUGUGAGUUCUCAUAUACAGAGUUAGUGAUGCAUGGCAUUGAGGGGAGAGGUGAGGGGGGAACUCAAUCAUUGCAUCAAACUGCCGUUUUCAAUUUUACAAAGAACUCUUGCAUGUGUUCUUAUUUGAUAAUAGCCUCACAGAAUCAAAGGCUUUUCACCAUAGCAACCUUAGUAGUUGGCCCUUUUUAACAUUGAAGAAACUGAGGCUCAAAUGCUUAAGUGACUCCCUUAGAGUGACAAAACUAGUUAAGUGGUAGGAGAUGGGAUUACUGAGUCCAGGGUCUACAGGUUUAGCUUUUGUUUUUUUAGGACAUGCUUGCUUAAAGAAAGACAGCACUAGUGAGAGACAGUUUUACACAGAGGAAAGCAAAAAUUGAGCCAACCACAGAAGCACCCUCUUUCAAUUAUACAGUGGUUAACACUUAAAAUUACUUUCCCAGUAUCCUAAAUGACUGCCCUUACAAAGCAAAUGCACUGCCUAAACCAUGGCUGCAUGCUUUUUCUUUACUUGGAAGGAUCUCUCAGAGAGCAUUACUAAAAAUAACUUCAUUAUCUGUAAUAGAAACUCAUCUAUCACCAUUCUAAUUAGAAUGUGACUAAAGAAAUCAGUAGUGAACAAAGGCGUUUUGGACAUUUGGUGCCUAUAAUGAUGGCUUUGAAGUUCCAGGGAAAAGUCAGUUUUCCAAAUGUCUCCUCAUUUAUAUCUCUCACUCGCCAUUCUUCUCAGUUCUCAAAGAAACUGUUUUUAAAUAUAUAUAAUAAUGGUAAUAGACAUUUGCAGAAACUGGAAAAAUAGAACAGCACAAAGAAGGAAAAAAAAACUUAUAUGCUCUCCUCUCAGAGAAAAUCACUACUAUUUUGAUGUGCCUGAGCAUUUUCUGCACAGAUAAGCAUUUCUGCCUACUUAGCACCAUAGUGUAUAAACUCUUUUGUUACCCACUUUCACACUUAUUAGAAUUAUUUCCUCCAUCAGGUAGAUAUUCUACAGUUUUUGGUGGUUGCACAGUAUUCUACUUACUAAAUUGCAUUAUUUAUAAAUUUUCCACUUCACUGAAUAGUUACUGAUUUUUAUGAGCAACCGUGCUAAAUAGCCUUGUAUAUUAAUUUCUGCAAACCUGUCAUAUUGAAGAAAAAUUCCCAGAAACAGAUUUGCUGGGUCAAAUCUUUAGGCAAAAUUUAAGAAUAUACAUCUUGGGAGUUCCCGUCGUGGCGCAGUGGUUAACGAAUCCGACUAGGAAACAUGAGGUUGUGGGUUCGGUCCCUGCCCUUGUUUAGUGGGUUAACGAUCCGGCAUUGCUGUGAGCUGUGGUGUAGGUUGCAGACGUGGCUCAGAUCCCGCGUUGCUGUGGCUCUGGCAUAGGCCAGUGGCUACAGCUCCGAUUCGACCCCUAGCCUGGGAACCUCCAUAUGCCGCGGGAGCGGCCCAAAGAAAUAGCAAAAAG
This 7143-nucleotide long non-coding RNA is filed under the name Sus scrofa (pig). RNAcentral describes it as "lncRNA (ENSSSCG00000041263.1)". Lineage: Eukaryota; Metazoa; Chordata; Mammalia; Artiodactyla; Suidae. The record is from RNAcentral.